GGAGAGAUGCCGGAGAUGGUUUAUCGGGGCGGCCUCGAAAGCCGUUGUGGGCGUAUGUUCACCGGGGGUUCGAAUCCCUCUCUCUCCGCCA
RNAcentral lists this transfer RNA (91 nucleotides) under Candidatus Poribacteria bacterium. Its description in RNAcentral is "tRNA-Ser". It matches the Rfam family "tRNA". Rfam says of the family: Transfer RNA (tRNA) molecules are approximately 80 nucleotides in length. Their secondary structure includes four short double-helical elements and three loops (D, anti-codon, and T loops). Further hydrogen bonds mediate the characteristic L-shaped molecular structure. tRNAs have two regions of fundamental functional importance: the anti-codon, which is responsible for specific mRNA codon recognition, and the 3' end, to which the tRNAs corresponding amino acid is attached (by aminoacyl-tRNA synthetases). tRNAs cope with the degeneracy of the genetic code in two manners: having more than one tRNA (with a specific anti-codon) for a particular amino acid; and 'wobble' base-pairing, i.e. permitting non-standard base-pairing at the 3rd anti-codon position. The record is from RNAcentral. Lineage: Bacteria; Candidatus Poribacteria.